CAGAUUUGCUUUUUCUCUUCCAUGCCUUGAGUGUAGGACCGUGACAUCUUAAUUACCCUCCCACACCCAAGGCUUGCAGGAGAGCAAGCCUUCUC
This 95-nucleotide microRNA precursor is filed under the name Mus pahari (shrew mouse). RNAcentral's name for it is "microRNA 532 (MGP_PahariEiJ_G0007816.1)". The stretch from base 12 to 85 matches the Rfam family "mir-532 microRNA precursor family". Lineage: Eukaryota; Metazoa; Chordata; Mammalia; Rodentia; Muridae. The record is from RNAcentral.